AGUGGCGCGCUUACCAUGCAGUCGAACGGUGAAGCAAGAGCUUGCUCUGUGGAUCAGUGGCGAACGGGUGAGUAACACGUGAGCAAUCUGCCCCUGACUCUGGGAUAAGCGCUGGAAACGGCGUCUAAUACCGGAUACGAGCUGCGAUCGCAUGGUCAGUAGCUGGAAAGAAUUUCGGUCAGGGAUGAGCUCGCGGCCUAUCAGCUUGUUGGUGAGGUAAUGGCUACCAAGGCGUCGACGGGUAGCCGGCCUGAGAGGGUGACCGGCCACACUGGGACUGAGACACGGCCCAGACUCCUACGGGAGGCAGCAGUGGGGAAUAUUGCACAAUGGGCGGAAGCCUGAUGCAGCAACGCCGCGUGAGGGAUGACGGCCUUCGGGUUGUAAACCUCUUUUAGCAGGGAAGAAGCGAAAGUGACGGUACCUGCAGAAAAAGCGCCGGCUAACUACGUGCCAGCAGCCGCGGUAAUACGUAGGGCGCAAGCGUUAUCCGGAAUUAUUGGGCGUAAAGAGCGCGCAGGCGGUCUGUCGCGUCUGCUGUGAAAACCCGAGGCUCAACCUCGGGCCUGCAGUGGGUACGGGCAGACUAGAGU
This 593-nucleotide ribosomal RNA is filed under the name Microbacterium imperiale. RNAcentral's name for it is "bacterial SSU rRNA". It matches the Rfam family "Bacterial small subunit ribosomal RNA", at positions 38 to 647 of the family's 1533-position model. Lineage: Bacteria; Bacillati; Actinomycetota; Actinomycetes; Micrococcales; Microbacteriaceae. The record is from RNAcentral.